GAUGAACGCUAGCGGCAGGCCUAAUACAUGCAAGUCGGACGGGAUUCAGGAGCUUGCUUCUGAUGAGAGUGGCGCACGGGUGCGUAACACGUAUGUAACCUACCUUUAUCAGGGGGAUAGCCUCUCGAAAGAGAGAUUAAGCCCGCAUAAAAUCACAGCACAGCAUUGUGUAAUGAUCAAAUAUUUAUAGGAUAAAGAUGGGCAUGCGGAACAUUAGCUAGAUGGCGGGGUAACGGCCCACCAUGGCGACGAUGUUUAGGGGAUCUGAGAGGAUGGCCCCCCACACUGGUACUGAGACACGGACCAGACUCCUACGGGAGGCAGCAGUAAGGAAUAGUGGUCAAUGGGCGGAAGCCUGAACCAGCCAUGCCGCGUGCAGGAAGACGGCCCUACGGGUUGUAAACUGCUUUUAUACGGGAAUAAACCCAGAUACGUGUAUCUGGCUGAAUGUACUGUAAGAAUAAGGAUCGGCUAACUCCGU
Molecule: ribosomal RNA, 481 nt
Filed under: uncultured bacterium
Lineage: Bacteria
Description: partial 16S ribosomal RNA
Rfam family: Bacterial small subunit ribosomal RNA
Source: RNAcentral